ACCACGUUGCUGUUGAAAAAGCAUGGGAUGAGCUGUGGAUAGCGGAGAAAUUCCAAUCGAACUCGGAUAUAGCUGGUUCUCCUCGAAAUAGCUUUAGGGCUAGCGUCGGAAAAUGUGAGUACUGGGGGUAGAGCACUGAAUGGGCUAGGGGGCAUAGCGCUUACCGAACCUUAUCAAACUCCGAAUACCAGAUACUAUCAGUCCGGCAGUCAGACUGCGAAAGAUAAGUUCCGUAGUCAAAAGGGAAACAGCCCAGAUCGUCAGCUAAGGUCCCAAAGUGUAAGUUAAGUGGAAAAGGAUGUGGGAUUUCUAAGACAACUAGGAUGUUGGCUUAGAAGCAGCCACUCAUUAAAAGAGUGCGUAAUAGCUCACUAGUCAAGAGAUCCUGCGCCGAAAAUGUCCGGGGCUCAAACUUACCACCGAAGCUACGGGUUCACACAUUAGUGUGAGCGGUAGAGGAGCGUCGUAAUCGGGCUGAAGUCGUACCGUAAGGAGCGGUGGACUGAUUACGAGUGAGAAUGUUGGCAUUAGUAGCGAGAUGUGGGUGAGAAUCCCACAGGCCGAAUACCUAAGGUUUCCUCAGGAAGGUUCGUCCGCUGAGGGUUAGUCGGGACCUAAGCUGAGGCCGAAAGGCGUAAGCGAUGGACAAUCGGUUGAUAUUCCGAUACCACUAUUAUCGUUAUUAUCGAUGGUGUGACGGAGAAGGAUAGGAUGUGCUAGCUAUUGGAUGCUAGUCUAAGCGUUUAGGGAGUUAGAAUAGGCAAAUCCGUUCUAACAAUUCUGAGGCGUGAUGGGGAA
RNAcentral lists this ribosomal RNA (798 nucleotides) under Clostridium botulinum. Its description in RNAcentral is "partial 23S ribosomal RNA". It matches the Rfam family "Bacterial large subunit ribosomal RNA", at positions 776 to 1573 of the family's 2925-position model. The record is from RNAcentral. Lineage: Bacteria; Bacillati; Bacillota; Clostridia; Eubacteriales; Clostridiaceae.